Molecule: long non-coding RNA, 809 nt
Filed under: Numida meleagris (helmeted guineafowl)
Lineage: Eukaryota; Metazoa; Chordata; Aves; Galliformes; Numididae
Description: lncRNA (ENSNMEG00000012258.1)
Source: RNAcentral
GCACAGGUCCUUGUGAGGCCACAGUGUCAGUAGCAGGUCCAGGCUGACUGCUGAGGGAGGAAGGACUCUGGCUUGCUGUAGAGGGAAACUGCUAGACCAGCACCAUUGAAGCAAGAGUUGGCAAAAUGAUUCAGAAGGAAAACGCCCCAGGAGCACAGGGAGGUGCUGGGUCCAUGAACACCUCCACAGCAAAGCAUCCACAGGAUGGAGGCCUCCAGCCAGCGACCAGGCAGACUAAGAAAGCAACAUCCACUGGAAGUAAGAUUUGUUGCUGUCAUACUGAAAAAUAGCAGGGAUGAAGAAUGUACUUGAAGCGUCAAAGACCAGGAGGGCCCAGACAACCUCACAGGGCUGCUGCAGUCCAUCUGUCUGCACGAGAGCAGAGUGGUCCCUUGCCACUGUCCUCUCCCAGAGCUCCAGCAGGAGCAGCUGCUCCACCGCCUAUUUGCCCUCUUUAGGACAAAUAUCAGGACGCUGUCACCAAGCUACUUUAUCACCUAUUUGUAAGUAUUGCAACUUGCCUUAUCAAUAGACAUCUGCCCCAUCAGAACCUCGAAUUCAGCUACUGACCUUUGUUGUCAUUCAUGCUCUUUAUGGUACGUUGAUUCAAGAGCAGGAUAGCAGGUCAGUAGCAGAAAGAGAAGCAGACCUGCACCAAAGGGUGUAUGAGCCCUGCAUGCUGCUGUAGAUACGUGGUGAGUUUGGAGAAUCUACUGCUUUCUGCUGUUUCUAAAACAGCAAUUGUUAUUUAUCAUUCCCUGUUUCCCAAGAUAAAUAAAAUAGCAAACUACUUUUUAGUAUACUGAGUU